This 443-nucleotide unclassified non-coding RNA is filed under the name Hevea brasiliensis (rubber tree). The record is from RNAcentral. Lineage: Eukaryota; Viridiplantae; Streptophyta; Magnoliopsida; Malpighiales; Euphorbiaceae.
GUGGCACUUCUUGCUCAGCUAUACGGUAGACGGGUAAGGAGCGUCACAUAAAAUCUCAUUUGUUAUUGAAGUUAGGAUGCUAAAACUGUUUUUUAAAAAUUUUAUUUAAUUAUUUUAAAGUUUGAAAACAUUAUAAAAAAUUAAAAAGAAAAAACUAUUUAACACGGUGCUAAAUGAUUAAAAAAAUUAUAGAAACAUAGUCAUUGUUAAACUUUACAAAAAAUUUAAAAAUGAGAAAAAUGCACUAAAAGAAGGGUGUUUAGAAAGGAGAGAGUGCAUAAUAAAGCCGUUGGUGGAAUUGGGUUGACUUACAUUCUAGGGAAAAAGAGAACAAUUUUAAAAAAUUUGUAAAAAAAUUGUAAGAUUUUGUCUGUAAUUUUAAUAAUUAAAUAGGUCAAAGUUAAUUUUUUAAUGUGAUUAAUAUUAAUUGAUAUUUACUUUAA